AACGAACGCUGGCGGCAUGCCUAACACAUGCAAGUCGAACGAGACCUUCGGGUCUAGUGGCGCACGGGUGCGUAACGCGUGGGAACCUGCCCUUAGGUUCGGCAUAACUCCCCGAAAGGGGUGCUAAUACCGGAUAAUGUCUUCGGACCAAAGAUUUAUCGCCUUUGGAUGGGCCCGCGUUGGAUUAGCUAGUUGGUAGGGUAAAAGCCUACCAAGGCGACGAUCCAUAGCUGGCCUGAGAGGAUGAUCAGCCACACUGGGACUGGGACACGGCCCAGACGCCUACGGGAGGCAGCAGUGGGGAAUAUUGGACAAUGGGCGAAAGCCUGAUCCAGCAAGGCCGCGUGAGUGAUGAAGGCCUUAGGGUUGUAAAGCUCUUUUACCCGGGAUGAUAAUGACAGUACCGGGAGAAUAAGCUCCGGCUAACUCCGUG
This 433-nucleotide ribosomal RNA is filed under the name uncultured bacterium. Its description in RNAcentral is "partial 16S ribosomal RNA". It matches the Rfam family "Bacterial small subunit ribosomal RNA", at positions 29 to 507 of the family's 1533-position model. The record is from RNAcentral.